RNAcentral lists this long non-coding RNA (1785 nucleotides) under Homo sapiens (human). RNAcentral describes it as "non-protein coding lnc-FOXD4L6-1:11". The record is from RNAcentral. Lineage: Eukaryota; Metazoa; Chordata; Mammalia; Primates; Hominidae.
UUUUCCCUACAGGUGGACACGCCCCCACUGAUAUUCCUUCUAAUUGCAGCGUGGGAGAGGAGGAUAUGACACGCGAUAUCGCAGGGAGUAGAAACACCCCUGUGAUACUGUUCUUAAUAUUCAGGGAGGAAGAGGAUGAUAUUACUCCCAAUACAGACGGGUGUACACCCUCUGUACACCGAGGGUGUACACCUGUCUGUGAAAGAGUUCGUAAUCUCCAGAGGGGGAGAUGAUAUUACUCACAAUAUGGUAAAGAGGCUGUGAGUCCACGGAGGAUCCUCAGAGCCAGCGGGGGAAGAGGGGCUGGCUCUCAGUCCCCGCCUCGCGGGGGUGACUCCCCCCAGUGCGAUGGGGGUCCUAAGAGCCAGUGGGGGAAGAGGGGCUGGCUCUGAGACCCCGCCUCGCGGGGGGUGCCUCCCCGCCCUGUGAUGGGGGUCCGAAGAGCCAGAAGGCUUAGAGGGGCUGGCUCUCAGUCCCCGCCUCGCGGGGGGUGCCUCCUCCCCCUGCGAUGGGGGUCGUAAGAGCCACUGGGGGAAUAGGGGCUUGCUCUCAGUCACCGCCUCGCGGGGGGUGCCUCCUUUCCUUUCUACAUAGACACAGUGACAGUCUGAUCUCUCUUUCUUUUCCCUACAGAUGGACACGCCCCCACUGAUAUUGUUUUUAAUGCAGCGUGGGAGGGGAGGAUAUGACACGCGAUAUCGCAGGUAGUAGAAACACCCCUUUGAUAGUGUUCUUAAUAUUCAGGGAGGAAGAAGAUGAUGUUACUCCCAAUACAGACGGAUGUACACCCUCUGUACACCGAGGGUGUACACCCGUCUGUGAAGGAGUUCGUAAUCUCCAGAGGUGGAGAUGAUAUUACUCACAAUAUGGUAAACAGGCUGUGAGUCCAUCGCGGAUCCUCAGAGCCAGGUGGGGAAGAGGGGCUGGCUGUCAGUCCCCUCCUCGCGGGGGGUGCCUCCCCCACUGCUAUGGGGAUCCCAAGAGCCAGUGGGGGAAGAGGUGCUGGCUCUCAGUCUCCGCCUCGCGAGGUGCCUCCCCACCCUGCGAUCGGGGUCCGAAGAGCCAGGGGGGAAGAGGGGCUGGCUCUCUUCGUGGAUGAUUCUUUUUCCAUUCUCAGGCAGUUUUCUUUUUUCUUUCUUUCUUUUUUUUUUUUUUUGAGACUGAGUCUUGCUCUGUUGCCCAUGCUUUGCUCGAUCUCGGGUGACUGCAACCACUGCCUCCCAGGUUCAAGAGAUUCUCCUGCCUCAGCCUCCUGAGUAGCUGGGACUAGAGGCGUGUGUCACCACACCCAGCUAAUUUUUGUAUUUUUAGUAGAGAUGGGGUUUCACCAUGUUUGCCAGGAUGGUCUCUAUCUCCUGCCCUUGUGAUCCACCCACCUCAGCCUCCCAAAGUGCUGGGAUUGCAGGUGCGAGCCACCGGGUCCAGCCUCUCAGGCGAUUUUCAUACCUGCAUACUCUGGUCACUACUCUGUUAAACAGUCAAGGAGGCUGAGUGCCACGUGCUGACGUCACUAAGAUCAAUACAGCAAACUCUGAAAGAUGGACAGAGAGACAGGAGAUGGUCCUUUAUAAUGCAGUGUGAUCUGUGCUGCAAUAGAGUUUUGGAAGCUAGAAGUUCAAAACGAGGUGUUGGCAGCACCAUGCUCUCUCUGAAGAUGCUAGGAAGAAUCUGCUCCAUGCCUUUCCAUUCGCUUCUGGGGUUUCCUGCAAGCCCUGACAUUCCUUGGCUUGUAGAUGCAUCACCCCAGUUUCCGCCCCCAUCAUCACAUGGCCUCCUCUCUGUGUG